This is a non-coding RNA of Coffea arabica (coffee), 455 nucleotides long. The record is from RefSeq and is a predicted model, not a curated record. NCBI's taxonomy places the organism in Eukaryota, Viridiplantae, Streptophyta, Magnoliopsida, Gentianales, Rubiaceae.
GGGUCAGAUUGUUCAAGGCUGGGAGUUAAGCUUUCAUCAUCAACUUCAUCUCGAAAUAAUGAUGACAGCCCUGCUACAUCAAUUUUACCAUGGAAGUUUCAAUGGAUGGGAAUCUUGCUGAUAUCUGGUGCUAUACUACUCUGGAAAUAGGAAUUUCAAUAGUGUGUUGCCUCAGUUUGGCAUCACUUUACCAGUUAUGUUUACACAUAAUUGCUUGAUAUUGAUUGUGAUGUAGUUAUUUAAUUAUUUUCACAGAGGAUAGAUUUUGUAUUCAUAGAAUAAACAUGAGGAAGAGGAUUAUUGCUUCUAGAAUAGCCUCAUAUACAGUAGCAAGCAGCAUUUUCUAUUAAAAUCUUUCUUGUGUAAAAGAACAUACUGCUAGUGCAGAAAUUGAUUUUGUUAAUAGUGAAUGAUGGGUUUUGGACCAUUUGUUUCAAAUACGAGCAAUGUUUUCA